CCGCGGCCCAUUAGCUAGUUGGCGGGGUAAAGGCCCACCAAGGCUACGAUGGGUAGCUGGUCUGAGAGGAUGAUCAGCCACACUGGGACUGAGACACGGCCCAGACUCCUACGGGAGGCAGCAGUGGGGAAUCUUGCGCAAUGGGCGAAAGCCUGACGCAGCAACGCCGCGUGCGGGAGGAAGGCCUUCGGGUUGUAAACCGCUUUCAGGGGAGACGAAGCUUCCAGGGUGAAUAGCUCUGUGGAGUGACGGUAUCUUCAGAAGAAGUCCCGGCUAACUACGUGCCAGCAGCCGCGGUGAUACGUAGGGGACAAGCGUUGUCCGGAAUUAUUGGGCGUAAAGCGCGUGUAGGCGGCCAAGUAAGUCUUACGUGAAAUCCUGAGGCUCAACCUCAGGCCUGCGCGGGAUACUGCUUGGCUAGAGUCCGGAGGAGGAGAGUGGAAUUCCUGGUGUAGCGGUGGAAUGCGCAGAUAUCAGGAGGAACAUCCGUGGCGAAGGCGGCUCUCUGGGACGGUACUGACGCUGAGACGCGAAAGCGUGGGGAGCGAACAGGAUUAGAUACCCUGGUAGUCCACGCCGUAAACGAUGGGCGCUAGGUGUGGGAGGUGUCGAUUCCUUCCGUGCCGAAGCUAACGCAUUAAGCGCCCCGCCUGGGGAGUACGGUCGCAAGACUAAAACUCAAAGGAAUUGACGG
Molecule: ribosomal RNA, 694 nt
Filed under: uncultured bacterium
Lineage: Bacteria
Description: bacterial SSU rRNA
Rfam family: Bacterial small subunit ribosomal RNA
Source: RNAcentral